Molecule: ribosomal RNA, 253 nt
Filed under: uncultured bacterium
Lineage: Bacteria
Description: partial 16S ribosomal RNA
Rfam family: Bacterial small subunit ribosomal RNA
Source: RNAcentral
UACGUAGGGGGCAAGCGUUGUCCGGAAUCAUUGGGCGUAAAGCGCGCGUAGGCGGUUCGAUAAGUCUGCUGUGAAAGUCCAGGGCUCAACCCUGGGAUGCCGGUGGAUACUGUCGGACUAGAGUACGGAAGAGGCGAGUGGAAUUCCCGGUGUAGCGGUGAAAUGCGCAGAUAUCGGGAGGAACACCAAUUGCGAAGGCAGCUCGCUGGGACGUCACUGACGCUGAGACGCGAAAGCGUGGGGAGCGAACAGG